ACGCUCGACACCUACGGGAGGGAGCAGUGAGGAAUAUUGGUCAAUGGGCGCUAGCCUGAACCAGCCAAGUAGCGUGAAGGAUGAAGGCUCUAUGGGUCGUAAACUUCUUUUAUAUAAGAAUAAAGUGCAGUAUGUAUACUGUUUUGUAUGUAUUAUAUGAAUAAGGAUCGGCUAACUCCGUGCCAGCAGCCGUGGUAAUCUGAGCGGGCUGGCAAGGC
RNAcentral lists this ribosomal RNA (218 nucleotides) under uncultured bacterium. RNAcentral describes it as "partial 16S ribosomal RNA". It matches the Rfam family "Bacterial small subunit ribosomal RNA", at positions 328 to 539 of the family's 1533-position model. The record is from RNAcentral.